RNAcentral lists this ribosomal RNA (442 nucleotides) under uncultured bacterium. RNAcentral describes it as "partial 16S ribosomal RNA". It matches the Rfam family "Bacterial small subunit ribosomal RNA", at positions 338 to 795 of the family's 1533-position model. The record is from RNAcentral.
CCUACGGGAGGCUGCAGUGGGGAAUAUUGGGCAAUGGGCGCAAGCCUGACCCAGCAACGCCGCGUGAAGGAAGAAGGCUUUCGGGUUGUAAACUUCUUUUGUCAGGGAAGAGUAGAAGACGGUACCUGACGAAUAAGCCACGGCUAACUACGUGCCAGCAGCCGCGGUAAUACGUAGGUGGCAAGCGUUGUCCGGAUUUACUGGGUGUAAAGGGCGUGUAGCCGGGUUGACAAGUCAGAUGUGAAAUCCUGCGGCUUAACCGCAGAACUGCAUUUGAAACUGUUGAUCUUGAGUACUGGAGAGGCAGAUGGAAUUCCUAGUGUAGCGGUGAAAUGCGUAGAUAUUAGGAGGAACACCAGUGGCGAAGGCGGUCUGCUGGACAGCAACUGACGCUCAGGCACGAAAGCGUGGGUAUCGAACAGGAUUAGAUACCCCAGUAGUC